This 513-nucleotide ribosomal RNA is filed under the name Rhytidodus melanthes. RNAcentral's name for it is "partial large subunit ribosomal RNA". The stretch from base 380 to 513 matches the Rfam family "Archaeal large subunit ribosomal RNA", at positions 2542 to 2676 of the family's 2987-position model. The record is from RNAcentral. Lineage: Eukaryota; Metazoa; Arthropoda; Insecta; Hemiptera; Cicadellidae.
ACAUUUCUUUAAGGUAUAAUUUAAAGUAGGUUCUGCCCUAUGAAAAAUUUAAAUGGCUGCAGUAUCUUGACUGUGCAAAGGUAGCAUAAUAAUUAGUUUCUUAAUUAGGGACUUGUAUGAAUGAAUUAAUGAGAAAUUUAUUUUAUUAUUAUUAUUAUUAUAAUUUAACUUUUGAGUUAAAAUGCUCAAUUGAAUUAUUGGGACGAUAAGACCCUGUAGAACUUAUAAUUAAUAAAUAUUUACAGGUAAUUUAGUUUUUAUUAUUAAAAUAUUUAUUUAUUUUUUACUGGGGUGGUAAAUAAAUUUUAACUUUAUUUUUUAAAUUCAUUAAUUUAUGUAUAUUUGAUCCAUAUUGACAAUAAGAUGAAGUUACCUCAGGGAUAACAGCGUAAUUUUAAUGGAAAGUUCAUAUUUAUAUUAAAGUUUGCGACCUCGAUGUUGAAUUAAGAUAAAAUUAAGGGGUAGGUUCUUUAAUAUUAGGUCUGUUCGACCUUUACAUUCUUACAUGAUCUG